Molecule: long non-coding RNA, 2671 nt
Filed under: Brassica napus (rape)
Lineage: Eukaryota; Viridiplantae; Streptophyta; Magnoliopsida; Brassicales; Brassicaceae
Description: long non-coding RNA (BNAP_LNC003668)
Source: RNAcentral
GGGACAUAGGAGAUUUUGCAACCUUGAUGAUUCUCUGACCUUCAAAAACGUGAAAACCAAACCAUAUGAAUGAAACAUUCUUCCUAGUUACUGUGACCUUACAAAUGCUUAACGUACCUGACUUGGCUUCAAGAACCAACCGGAUGGUUACAGCAUGAUCCCAGUUAAUCCCCAACGCAGCAACAAGGUGAGAAUCAUACGUCCUUGUGUGUUCUUGAAAUCUAUCUUUCAUGUUAGCUGUUACAGACAAAAUAUAUGAUUGUGGUAGACUGCACUGAUGAAGUCAACACAACACUACUGUACCUUUGAAGGAAUAUGUGCAAAUUCAGCAAGUGAUCUGUAAAAUGGCAGGGAAUAAUUUAUCAAUGUUUUUUUGUAACGGAUUAAAUAUCAAUGUUAAAGAUGAAGUACGAUAAAAAUGGUUAUGUAAGAAUGAUAAAAAUGAAUAAUAUAUCAUUAAUGACAAUCAUAUAUUUAAUUUGAAUACGAAUAGCAAUUUGUGUAAUAUUUUAUAUGAAACCAAAGUUGUUUUUAUAAUGUACCUUUUAAAAUUUGAAAAACCUUUGGCAAAAAAUGUACCUCUUAAUAGAUUAGAUUUUGAUAACAAAUCCAUAUUUAUUGUUGUGAUAAUGGUUAGUUUAUUGUUGGGAUAUGAUCAAGUUCAUACAAAAACACAUUUAAUAAAAUUUCUAAGGAACUGUCCAACUAUAAAAAUCACAUAUGAAACAUGUUGUGUAUUUAUGAUUUACUAGUACUUCUAAUCCGUGUUUUAAAACUCAAGAUUAUUUUUAUGUAAAUUUUUAUUUCAAUCAAACAUAUAUUUUAUUUUAUUUUUACAUACUGUUUUGGUGUAUAUCUUUUGGUAAUAAUUUAAAUUUUGUUGACAGUUUUAUUUUUAAGUAUAUGAUAUAUAUAAUUAACUAAAUUUUAACUUAUUUUAAAUAUAAAAUAUUUUUAUUUUAUUUUUAUGUGUUUUCUAUUUUUAUGAAAAAUAAAAAAUAUAUUUAUGAAAAUGAAUACGAAACUGCAAAGGAUGCGGCUAGUCAACCAUCGUUGAAGUCACAAUCGUCUCUAGUCCGUAGAAGGAUCUAAAGAAACAAGACAUGAAUAAAUGCAGAGACACAUACAAUAGGCAUGUAUAUGUUUGAUUACAGAUUUAAUAGGUUCAUCUAAGUAGAAGAAUAUGAAUAAGUCAAGAAUCUGAAAUAAAGAAUCACUUAGGAGGCGGACGAGAGUGUAAAUUGGCAGAAGUAACAUAUAUAAGAUUGUUAGAAUUUACAAAGCCUAUGUGUUAUUAGUUUAUGGAUUUUUACAUUUGCAAUAAAAUCUAAUGUUAUUGGUUUAUUAAUUUUAUAAAUUUAUAUAAAAUGGUUUUUAAAAAAAUAAUAAUAAUUUUAAUGAUUCUACAAAUCUAUUAAAGUUACUGUUAUUGGAUAUUAUAUUCUUAACCAUUUAACACAUAUUAUAUGAUUUUGAAAAUAAUACAUAUGUUUUUAGAUUAUUUAAAAUUUAAAAUUAUUAUAGUAAUUUCUUUUCAUAGAAUUUCACAAUGCACAAAAUUCUCUCCAAUUCUUUUUAAAUUUCAACAAAUCUCUAAACUCAACAAAUUCUAUAUAAGUAUAACUCCCAUAACACCUCGAAAGUUAAUAACACUAGUUUGCUUUUGUUCUGUGGCAAAACAUAUGAAAAGGUAGUAAUCAUUAAUUACUAAUAAAGAUGUGUUGUUUCAGUUAUGUUUAGAGUAUCCUAUUACACCAACUAAAAAUAUUAAAAUUGUAGAAAUUAAUAUAUAACGUUUGAAGAGACUGGACUCAUUAUUAAGGGUAUAGAGAUGAAGCGAUUUCCGAAAUUUUGAAAGUAUCUAUGAUCCACUUCAUUUUUUGGAUCAGCAUUUUAUGAUUCAUAUUUACUUUGUUAUAAUCUAAGUAUUAAGUAAGUAUUUGGAUACUGACAACGUAUAUAUAAAAAAAAUACAGGACAACCCUUUACCAAAUAAUAAAUAGACUGUAGUAUUGUGAAAGCAGUGCCGGUUAAACUGUCUGAAACAUUAGCUUUUCUAAGAAAGUUUAAUUGAACUAAUGACCCACUAUUAAUGUUUGUAUCAGCACGCCGUUGAUUCGCCUUUGCUUUAUUCCAUUACGAGCAGUCCCCGUUAAAGUUAAUCAUGUCGCUGUGCCCUGCAUAGUCCUCAUCUAUAGUAUUAGACCUUUUAUAUUUGAAACAAUACUAACUCUGCGACGUAACAGGGGAUCAAUAAUACCUCGAGCAUGAAUGUUGUUGAUUCCUGGGCCUUUCAGCUCAGUCCCGUCGUCGCUCAGCAAUGAGAUUCCAGCUGAAGUUAUAUGGAACGGGAACGCUAGAGGAGGUGACAUAGGAGAUUUUGCAACCUUGAUGAUUCUCUGACCUUCAAAAACGUGAAAACCAAACCACAUGAAUGAAACAUUCUUCGUAGCUACUGUGACCUUACAAAUGCUUUAACGUACCGGACUUGGAUUCAAGAACCAACCGGAUAGUUACAGCAUGAGCCCAGUUGAUCCCUAAAGCAGCAACGAGAUGAGAAUCAUACGUCCUUGUGUGUUCUUGAAAUCCAUCUUUCAGUUUAGCUGUUACAGAGAAAAUAUAUGAUUGUGGUAGAGUGCAACAAAACAGUAAAAAGACACUUCAGUUUCUG